This 72-nucleotide transfer RNA is filed under the name Camelus bactrianus (Bactrian camel). It matches the Rfam family "tRNA". From Rfam's summary of the family: Transfer RNA (tRNA) molecules are approximately 80 nucleotides in length. Their secondary structure includes four short double-helical elements and three loops (D, anti-codon, and T loops). Further hydrogen bonds mediate the characteristic L-shaped molecular structure. tRNAs have two regions of fundamental functional importance: the anti-codon, which is responsible for specific mRNA codon recognition, and the 3' end, to which the tRNAs corresponding amino acid is attached (by aminoacyl-tRNA synthetases). tRNAs cope with the degeneracy of the genetic code in two manners: having more than one tRNA (with a specific anti-codon) for a particular amino acid; and 'wobble' base-pairing, i.e. permitting non-standard base-pairing at the 3rd anti-codon position. Lineage: Eukaryota; Metazoa; Chordata; Mammalia; Artiodactyla; Camelidae. The record is from Rfam by way of RNAcentral. RNAcentral also lists the same sequence under 2 other names.
GGAGGUACAGCUCAGUGGUAAAGCGCAUGCUUAACAUACAUGAGGUCCUGGGUUCAGUCCCUAGUACCACCA